CGCUCUAUACCCUUUGUGACAUACCUAACCGUUGCUUCGGCGGGCAGGGGAAGCCUCUCGCGGGCCUCCCCUCCCGGCGCCGGCCCCCACCACGGGGACGGGGCGCCCGCCGGAGGAAACCAAACUCUAUUUACACGACGUCUCUUCUGAGUGGCACAAGCAAAUAAUUAAAACUUUUAACAACGGAUCUCUUGGUUCUGGCAUCGAUGAAGAACGCAGCGAAAUGCGAUAAGUAAUGUGAAUUGCAGAAUUCAGUGAAUCAUCGAAUCUUUGAACGCACAUUGCGCUCGCCAGCAUUCUGGCGAGCAUGCCUGUUCGAGCGUCAUUUCAACCCUCAAGCACCGCUUGGUUUUGGGGCCCCACGGCACACGUGGGCCCUUAAAGGUAGUGGCGGACCCUCCCGGAGCCUCCUUUGCGUAGUAACUAACGUCUCGCACUGGGAUUCGGAGGGACUCUUGCCGUAAAACCCCCAAAUUUUUUACAGGUUGACCUCGGAUCAGGUAGGAAUACCCGCUGAACUUAAGCAUAUCAAUAAGCGGAGGAA
This 544-nucleotide ribosomal RNA is filed under the name Colletotrichum acutatum. RNAcentral describes it as "eukaryotic LSU rRNA". The stretch from base 172 to 325 matches the Rfam family "5.8S ribosomal RNA". Lineage: Eukaryota; Fungi; Ascomycota; Sordariomycetes; Glomerellales; Glomerellaceae. The record is from RNAcentral.